This 410-nucleotide ribosomal RNA is filed under the name uncultured microorganism. RNAcentral describes it as "bacterial SSU rRNA". It matches the Rfam family "Bacterial small subunit ribosomal RNA", at positions 509 to 917 of the family's 1533-position model. The record is from RNAcentral.
CAGCAGCCGCGGUAAUACGUAGGUGGCAAGCGUUGUCCGGAAUUAUUGGGCGUAAAGCGCGCGCAGGCGGUCCUUUAAGUCUGAUGUGAAAGCCCCCGGCUCAACCGGGGAGGGUCAUUGGAAACUGGGGGACUUGAGUGCAGGAGAGGGAAGUGGAAUUCCACGUGUAGCGGUGAAAUGCGUAGAGAUGUGGAGGAACACCAGUGGCGAAGGCGGCUUCCUGGCCUGUAACUGACGCUGAGGCGCGAAAGCGUGGGGAGCAAACAGGAUUAGAUACCCUGGUAGUCCACGCCGUAAACGAUGAGUGCUAAGUGUUAGGGGGUUUCCGCCCCUUAGUGCUGCAGCUAACGCAUUAAGCACUCCGCCUGGGGAGUACGGCCGCAAGGCUGAAACUUAAAGGAAUUGGCGGG